This 468-nucleotide ribosomal RNA is filed under the name uncultured bacterium. Its description in RNAcentral is "partial 16S ribosomal RNA". It matches the Rfam family "Bacterial small subunit ribosomal RNA", at positions 28 to 507 of the family's 1533-position model. The record is from RNAcentral.
GACGAACGCUGGCGGCGUGCUUAACACAUGCAAGUCGAACGGAAAGGCCCUGCUUUUGUGGGGUGCUCGAGUGGCGAACGGGUGAGUAACACGUGAGUAACCUGCCCUUGACUUUGGGAUAACUUCAGGAAACUGGGGCUAAUACCGGAUAGGAGCUCCUGCUGCAUGGUGGGGGUUGGAAAGUUUCGGCGGUUGGGGAUGGACUCGCGGCUUAUCAGCUUGUUGGUGGGGUAGUGGCUUACCAAGGCUUUGACGGGUAGCCGGCCUGGGGGGGUGACCGGCCACAUUGGGGCUGAGGUGCGCCCCAGCCUCCUGCGGGGGGCACCAGGGGGAAAUUGGGCCCAGGGGGGGGAGGCGGGACGCGGAGCCCCCGCGGGCGGAAGGGCGGCCUUCGGGUGAUAAACCGCUUGCGCCGUUAACGAGGGUUGAGUGACGGUAAUGAAUAAGAAAGCACCGGCUAACUACGUG